RNAcentral lists this ribosomal RNA (492 nucleotides) under uncultured bacterium. RNAcentral describes it as "partial 16S ribosomal RNA". It matches the Rfam family "Bacterial small subunit ribosomal RNA", at positions 29 to 507 of the family's 1533-position model. The record is from RNAcentral.
AGUGAACGCUGGCGGUAUGCCUAACACAUGCAAGUCGAACGGCAGCACAGUAAGCGCUCGCUCUUACCGGUGGCGACUGGCGGAUGGGUGACGAAUACAUAGGCUUCCUAUUUUACUGGGGGGACUACGUAGGGCAACUUACGAUACUACCUCAUACGACGUACGGGAGAAAGCAAGAGUUCAUCACACCUUGCGUGACUGUAUGAGACGAUGUCGCAUUAGCUAGUUGGCGAGGUAAAGGCACACCAAGGCGACGAUGCGUAGCUGAUCUGAGAGGAUGAUCAGCCACACUGGAACUGAGACACGGUCCAGACUCCUACGGGAGGCAGCAGUAGGGAAUCUUCGGCAAAGGGCGCAAGCCUGACCCAGCAAUGCCGCGUGAGUGAAGAAGGCCUUCGGAUUGUAAAGCCCUGUUGUUAGGAAAGAAAAACAGUGGAAGAAUAUCUGCCUGUUCUGACGGUACCCAAUGAAUAAGCACCGGCUAACUUCGUG